GGAAGCGUGCCUGAAUAAAAGGACUAUUUUGAUAGAAUAGAUAAUAGAGACCACAAUCUCUCACUUCCU
This 69-nucleotide transfer RNA is filed under the name Abronia moreletii (Morelet's alligator lizard). RNAcentral describes it as "tRNA-Ile". The record is from RNAcentral. Lineage: Eukaryota; Metazoa; Chordata; Lepidosauria; Squamata; Anguidae.